CAGCCGCCGCGGUAAUACCAGCCCCGCGAGUGGUCGGGACGGUUAUUGGGCCUAAAGCGCCCGUAGCCGGCCCGGCAAGUCCCUCCUUAAAGCCUCGGGCCCAACCCGAGGACGGGGGGGAUACUGCCGGGCUAGGGGGCGGGAGAGGCCGGCGGUACUCCCGGGGUAGGGGCGAAAUCCGUUAAUCCCGGGAGGACCACCAGUGGCGAAGGCGGCCGGCUGGAACGCGCCCGACGGUGAGGGGCGAAAGCCGGGGGAGCGAACCGGAUUAGAUACCCGGGUAGUCCCGGCGGUAAACGAUGCGGGCUAGCUGUGGGGCGGGCUUAGAGCCCGCCCAGUGGCGCAGGGAAGCCGUUAAGUCCGCCGCCUGGGGAGUACGGCCGCAAGGCUGAAACUUAAAGGAAUUGGCGGG
Molecule: ribosomal RNA, 412 nt
Filed under: uncultured microorganism
Description: bacterial SSU rRNA
Rfam family: Archaeal small subunit ribosomal RNA
Source: RNAcentral